GAUUUCUGGCUUGAAACAUCUGGCCGGCCACGGUUUCGUGUGUUAGUGCUUGAUGUUCUGGCCAUCCUUCCAAUCGCUGUUGGCUAUUCUUCAUUGAAUGGUCAGUAGUAUUGGAUCUUUUACUUUGAAAAAAUUAGAGUGUUUCAAGCAGGCUUUAUGCUAUGAAUACAUUAGCAUGGAAUAAUAAUUUAGGACUUCGGUUCUAUUUUGUUGGUUUCUAGGACUGAAGUAAUGAUUGAUAGGGAUAGUUGGGGGUGCUAGUAUUCAGCGGCCAGAGGUGAAAUUCUCGGAUUCGCUGAAGACUAACUUAUGCGAAAGCAUU
Molecule: ribosomal RNA, 322 nt
Filed under: uncultured Polymyxa
Lineage: Eukaryota; Endomyxa; Phytomyxea; Plasmodiophorida; Plasmodiophoridae
Description: SSU rRNA
Rfam family: Eukaryotic small subunit ribosomal RNA (bases 112-322)
Source: RNAcentral